CGACCGGGUCUUUCGUCCUCAUUCUUCCGCGGCGCUUGAAGGCAAGAAAGGUCCAGUAUUCUGCGGAUUCUUAAACCCUUGGAAUCUGGAGUAGUGUGUCCAAGGUGCUUUAUUUCUCCCACAGAGGUUGAAAAAUCUCCAGGUCCAGUAUCAUGUGGAUUGAUAAACGCAGCAGACAGUUGGGAACCUGGAGCAGGCCGAGGAAAUGUACCAACUCCAUUACUUGAGAAACACUCCAUUUUCCACGUUGGCCAGUGCUUUGGGGCUUUUGAUAAAACGUGACAACAGGAUUAUGGUGCGGGUCUGAUGCACUGAUGAAAGGGCCAUGUGCAGUACAGCUAAAUCAAAAGGCUACUUAAGAUGUUUGCACAAGAGAGAUGAUGCCGUCAGCUGACCAUGAAUGAGUUCAUGAGUUGCAGCUUUCCCUCUUGGGAGGAUCAGCAGCCGUCUGAAUGCUCUUCUGGGUUACUUAAGAUGUUUGCACAAAGAGGUGAAGAUGACAUCAGCUGAGCAUGAGUCCUGCAGGAGGCGCAAGCAUAUCUGCAUGAGUUGCAGCUUUUACUCUUGGGAGGAUCGGCAGCUGUCUGAAUGCUUUUUUUGGGCUGCCUAGGCAUGUGCUGAUUGACGAUAUUCUCAUGGAUGUCUUCUGUUCUAACUGGUGUCUGGUCAUUGACAGGUAUGGUGGUGGCUGCUCCAUUGUGACAUGGGGAUAUGAAUGCGACGUGCAUUCUUAAAGGAAGCUCUGGACUAUCCAGGAUGGCUCUGGAAAAAUGUGUAGUGGCAUAAGAACGGUGCUGCCUGCAUCUGACUCUUCAGAAUGAUGUUCCAGAGCUUCACUUGUACAGCUUUGAUUUUAAAGUCUAUUGUCUUUUGAAGCAGUAAAAUGUUUUAAAGCAGUUUUCUAACUAUAAAGUUUGUGAAGUGUCAUUUACUUCAAUAAAGUUGUCAAAUUGUAAGCCA
Molecule: long non-coding RNA, 960 nt
Organism: Labeo rohita (rohu)
Lineage: Eukaryota; Metazoa; Chordata; Actinopteri; Cypriniformes; Cyprinidae
Exons: 16
Source: RefSeq, a predicted model, not a curated record